This 574-nucleotide ribosomal RNA is filed under the name Micrococcus sp. Its description in RNAcentral is "partial 16S ribosomal RNA". The record is from RNAcentral. Lineage: Bacteria; Bacillati; Actinomycetota; Actinomycetes; Micrococcales; Micrococcaceae.
GUCGACGAUGAARCCYAGCUUGCUGGRUGGAUUARUGGCGAACGGGUGAGUAACACGUGAGUAACCUGCCCUUAACUCUGGRAUAAGCCUGGSAAACUGGGUCUAAUACCGGAUAGGAGCGUCCACCGCAUGRUGRGUGUUGKAAAGAUUUAUCGGUUUUGGAUGSACUCGCGGCCUAUCASCUUGUUGGUGAGGUAAUGKCUCACCAAGGCGACGACGGGUAGCCGGCCUGAGAGGGUGACCGGCCACACUGGGACUGAGACACGGCCCAGACUCCUACGGGAGGCAGCAGUGGGGAAUAUUGCACAAUGGGCGCAAGCCUGAUGCAGCGACGCCGCGUGAGGRAUGACGGCCUUGGGGUUGUAAACCUCUUUCAGUAGGRAAGAAGCGAAAGUGAUGGUCCCUGCAGAAGAAGCACCGGCUAACUACGUGCCAGCAGCCGCGGUAAUACGUAGGGUGCGAGCGUUAUCCGGAAUUAUUGGGCGUAAAGAGCUCGUARGCGGUUUGUCGCGUCUGUCGUGAAAGUCCGGGGCUUAACSSCGGAUCUGCGGUGGGUACGGRCAGACUAGAGUGC